AAAAAUUUGGUGGCAAAGAAUGACAAAUGUUUUAAGUGCCUGCCAAGUUUCAUCAGGGAAUAACAUUCAUGGGUGCCGCGGCAAAAAAACAAUCAGCACUCCAAAAUAGAUUAUUUUUUUGCCACGACUUCCACGAAUGUCGUUUCCUAAUGAAACUUGGAAAGCACUUAGAACAUUUGUUGUUCUUCGCCACCAUAUUUUU
This 202-nucleotide microRNA precursor is filed under the name Aegilops tauschii subsp. strangulata. RNAcentral describes it as "pre miRNA MIR164". Lineage: Eukaryota; Viridiplantae; Streptophyta; Magnoliopsida; Poales; Poaceae. The record is from RNAcentral.